UUUUCCCUGUUAAAAGGGUGUUUUCCUUGCCACUGUCGCCUUUUGGCUUGCUCUGGGGGUCAGGCAUAUGGGUUCUGUAAAGCGUCUCGAGACAAUUUGACUGUAAUUGGCGCUAUAAAAAAAAAGAAAAAAAAAAAAAAAAAAAAAAAAAAACGGAGAUCCAGGAGUCGACUGGAAACUCUCCAGCAGGAAGAGUUCUAUUGUCGCUGACGAACACGAUGUCGACUCCAGACGGGGAAGCUGGAGGAAGGACCAGGAGGAGGAGGAAAGGUGUGGUCAAUUACCUCGAGCCGACUCUGAGGAGCAAACUGAGGCGAGGAGACGAACACACCGACAGCACGUUCCUCAGCUCCCCAAUGUUCAAGGACAAGAGGAAGAAGAAAACUGUCAGCAAAACCAAGACAGACAGACCCAUGUUACUGGACUGAUUAUUAUCAGUUUCUCUGUUUAACUUUAUUUUUAGUUGUUUUUUCAAGUUUGCCUUAAAGUUCAAUAAAGAUGUUUUCUGGUAAAUUUGAAGUAUCUUUAAAGUUUCUCCUGGAGGUCAGUCCAUUUAUAGUCUGUGUUACGUCAUCUAACAAAAAUAUGCAUUUUCUUUUCAUUUCUGACCAUUUUAUCGAUAAAAUUAUACUUGAGUCACUGAAACCACAACUAGUAAAACUAGUUAGAAAUCUAGUUGUUCUUCUCAAUUCUUUACAUUUUGGAUAAAACCUCCUUAGAAAACUCUGUAUUCUUUGUAGUGGAGGAAAUAUUUGUAGUACUUGAGUCAUUUUUAUUGCUUCUGUGCUUCUAGUACAAAUGUUUCACUCCACUAUAUUUAACGGCUGUUUCACUGAAGGGCUUUAACUAAUAAAUGUCAUCAAUUUAA
Long non-coding RNA from Amphiprion ocellaris (clown anemonefish), 868 nucleotides. NCBI's taxonomy places the organism in Eukaryota, Metazoa, Chordata, Actinopteri, Pomacentridae. The record is from Ensembl.